CGCCAAAGCUCAUCCGUCCUU
Molecule: non-coding RNA, 21 nt
Filed under: Arabidopsis thaliana (thale cress)
Lineage: Eukaryota; Viridiplantae; Streptophyta; Magnoliopsida; Brassicales; Brassicaceae
Source: RNAcentral